GCAACAUUCAUUUCCCAUACAGUACACAUUUAUAUUUUUCAGUAAGAGUGAAAGUAUGACUUGGCUAGGGUGAUACACAGGUGCAAAUGAUGAUCAGCCGCUGGCCAGCAGUUUUGGCGUACUAGACACUGUGGAUCGAGAGGGGAGGAACUGCUUGAGAACUCUUCAACUUUGCUUUUGCUGCUGCGACGAGCGGAGAAAGCUAAUAAGACAGACUGCCAUUUUCGACAGGAGUAAAAUCUUUCUGUGACUUGACCGAGGACGUAAGGUGAUGAGUUACCCCACGCAGCAACCACAAUACCCAGCAGGCUCUGCGCCUCCGCCAAUCGGCUUCGAUGCACAACCACCCCCUUACACACAACAGGUGAAGUUCAACUUAAACGUAUAACGUUACGUAGUAAUUUUCUUCGCCAAGAAGGUUAUGUUUUCAGUCAACAGCAAAAGUGGCAGCGGUUUCGGAAACGAGGGUCAAGUUCAAAAAUGAUUCAAAUGGCGUUUCCGUCGGU
Molecule: long non-coding RNA, 506 nt
Organism: Branchiostoma floridae (Florida lancelet)
Lineage: Eukaryota; Metazoa; Chordata; Leptocardii; Amphioxiformes; Branchiostomatidae
Exons: 3
Source: RefSeq, a predicted model, not a curated record